UACAGAGGGUGCGAGCGUUAAUCGGAAUUACUGGGCGUAAAGCGUGCGUAGACGGUAGCGUAAGUCAGAUGUGAAAGCCCCGGGCUCAACCUGGGAACUGCAUUUGAGACUGCUCUGCUCGGGUGCGGAAGAGGGAAGCGGAAUUUCCGGUGUAGCGGUGAAAUGCGUAGAUAUCGGAAGGAACACCAGUGGCGAAAGCGGCUUCCUGGUCCGACACCGACGUUCAGGCACGAAAGCUGGGGGAGCAAACAGG
This 253-nucleotide ribosomal RNA is filed under the name uncultured bacterium. RNAcentral describes it as "partial 16S ribosomal RNA". It matches the Rfam family "Bacterial small subunit ribosomal RNA", at positions 524 to 776 of the family's 1533-position model. The record is from RNAcentral.